CGCAGUCCAAACACACGCACAUCGUGGUUGGGUCAGUUGGAAACUCUAAGAUGACCAAUGUGAGUGUAAAUGAUUGUUCGUCUCUGUAUGUUGGCGACCUGUCAGCUGGGAUUGGCUCCAGCUUCCCGCGACCCAUAAAGGAUAAAGCUGAUAGAUGAUGGACGGAGUUCCGGGGGAAGUCUCUGCUGGGGAGACGAACAUCUGGACCGCUCUGCCACCACGACCCGGAGACGGAGUCAAACUUGACUCCUGGAUCCACCACACUGAUAAAGACCAGCAUGUGUUAUCACCUCCGCCAAGGAAGUGAGGUUUUCUUCGCUGUGUGUCGGUUUGUAACAGGAUGGAACAGAUUUACAGUAAACUCACUCAGUGGGAGGAGGAACAUGGAUCAAGAAAGAAUCCAUGAAAUGUUGGUGUGGAUCUGGACAAAGUCUCUUUCUUCAACAUCGUCAGACAGAAGGUUUUUUUUAACAUGUUCCCUGAUUUCACAGAGAAUAAUUAAUGAAGAAAACCAUCGGAGACGUUCACAGACUGACUCUGUCUGUGAGUCAGUCUGUAACGUGACGUUUGGGCCUUGGUGGCGGUUUUUAGUUUGUUGACGUCCUGAAUCAAAGAGCAUCACACGUCAAACUGCGGAUGUGAAAAAGACACUCACCUUGAUGCUGUUGAAGGGACUCCGGCGCCGGGCGGGAGGUCGUGACCCCACCGGGUCAGAGUUCACGUUGAGGUCGACGGUCCCCAUGAUUUAAUUACUACCACACGGAGAGACUGAAGAGGGCGGAGCAACGCCUGUGAAACACACACACAGAGUCAGAGUCGACGGCUUCACGUGUCAACAUUGCAUCAGACUCCAUCUUUGUCUGAACCACGGACUGAAAUUAAAGAUGGAUGACAUGACAGCUGACAAAACUGAAGUCUAAUAACCACCAUCGCCCCCUGGUGUCUGGCUACAGUAUAGUGAACGUCACCAGACUGGAUUAACACGUCAGUGUGUCAGAGCGUCUGUCCUCGCCUUGGUUCCCACAAAGGUCCAUAAACCGUGUGUCUCUGCGGGAUGCACAGCGAGUGUGACCUCAGCUCUGUUUGCAAAACCAGAGCGCGGAGGAUUUGAGCUGCGGCCGCGCAAACACAUCGAGGGAGAGAUUGUCCAGAACAUACAGGCGUCAAAAUGUGCAAGAAACAACUUCAUUCAGUUUCCAGCAAAGUGUUCCUGUUCUCACAGCAGGACGUCCCAGGGAAAGCAUCCCACAGAGAAGAAACAGAAGUCGUGCAGUUUGUCAGACUCACUGUGAGGCAGCUCAGAUCACUUUCUCUGCUUCCUCCUUUCACUUCGCUGCAGAUGGGCUUUUCCUCGCAUGGAACAUCCAGUCAUUUGAGCGCCGACACUCCUGCAGCUCGCCGCCCUGCAGCCGAGGAGGGAGGAACUGGAAUUUGACCCUGGUGCUGUAGGCAGGACGAAGAGUAAAGAAGGAAGGGAGGGAGGAAAGGUUUUGAAUAAACAGUCUGCUGCCUAUUGUCACACCUCCCCUAGAGAAGUUAAUUUAAAGUUUUUGUUUCCGCUCUGACCUGAUAUUUCCUGUAAACCUCUAUGAACAAAGGCAAAAUGCCAACUGCUGUUUUCACUAUCAGUCAAUCUGCAGCACUAGGCCGCUUCAAUAAAAGCUCCUUUGAAUGA
Long non-coding RNA from Scophthalmus maximus (turbot), 1675 nucleotides. RefSeq lists it as uncharacterized. The record is from RefSeq and is a predicted model, not a curated record. Lineage: Eukaryota; Metazoa; Chordata; Actinopteri; Pleuronectiformes; Scophthalmidae. The transcript is spliced from 4 exons.